Molecule: ribosomal RNA, 301 nt
Filed under: uncultured bacterium
Lineage: Bacteria
Description: partial 16S ribosomal RNA
Rfam family: Bacterial small subunit ribosomal RNA
Source: RNAcentral
CAGUCGCCACGGGAAUACAGAGGGUGCGAGCGUUAAUCGGAUUUACUGGGCGUAAAGCGUGCGUAGGCGGCUUUUUAAGUCGGAUGUGAAAUCCCUGAGCUUAACUUAGGAAUUGCAUUCGAUACUGGGAAGCUAGAGUAUGGGAGAGGAUGGUAGAAUUCCAGGUGUAGCGGUGAAAUGCGUAGAGAUCUGGAGGAAUACGGAUGGCGAAGGCAGCCAUCUGGCCUAAUACUGACGCUGAGGUACGAAAGCAUGGGGAGCAAACAGGAUUAGAUACCCGUGUAGUCCCUGUCUCUUAUAC